This 749-nucleotide ribosomal RNA is filed under the name Septoria saposhnikoviae. Its description in RNAcentral is "LSU rRNA". It matches the Rfam family "Eukaryotic large subunit ribosomal RNA", at positions 76 to 852 of the family's 3401-position model. The record is from RNAcentral. Lineage: Eukaryota; Fungi; Ascomycota; Dothideomycetes; Mycosphaerellales; Mycosphaerellaceae.
UGCCCUAGUAACGGCGAGUGAAGCGGCAACAGCUCAAAUUUGAAAUCUGGCGCAAGCCCGAGUUGUAAUUUGUAGAGGAUGCUUCUGGGUAGCGACCGAUCUAAGUUCCUUGGAACAGGACGUCAUAGAGGGUGAGAAUCCCGUAUGUGACCGGCCCGCACCCUUUACGUAGCUCCUUCGACGAGUCGAGUUGUUUGGGAAUGCAGCUCUAAAUGGGAGGUAAAUUUCUUCUAAAGCUAAAUACCGGCCAGAGACCGAUAGCGCACAAGUAGAGUGAUCGAAAGAUGAAAAGUACUUUGGAAAGAGAGUUAAAAAGCACGUGAAAUUGUUGAAAGGGAAGCGCCUGCAACCAGACUUCGCGGCAGUGUUCCGCCGGUCUUCUGACCGGUUCAUUCUCUGUCGCGAGGCCAUCAUCGUCUGGGCCCGCCGGAUAAGACCUUAGGAAUGUAGCUCACCUUCGGGGGAGUGUUAUAGCCUAGGGUGAUGCGGCGAGGCUCGGGCGAGGUCCGCGCUUCGGCAAGGAUGAUGGCGUAAUGGUUUGUCGGCGGGCCGCUCUUGAAACACGGACCAAGGGAGUCUAAACAUCUAUUCCGAGUGGUACGGGGUGUCUAAACCCCCUACAGCGUAAAUGUAAAGUGAAACGGGAGGUGGGGAACCCGCAAGGGCGCACCCAUUCGAACCGAAUCCCUGGAUGUUCCUUCGGGAUGGGAUUUUGAAGCUAAGAAGCCAUAAGCCUUUUUGGGGGAACC